Molecule: ribosomal RNA, 435 nt
Filed under: uncultured bacterium
Lineage: Bacteria
Description: bacterial SSU rRNA
Rfam family: Bacterial small subunit ribosomal RNA
Source: RNAcentral
CAGGCCUAACACAUGCAAGUCGAACGAAGGCUUCGGCCUUAGUGGCGCACGGGUGCGUAACGCGUGGGAAUCUGCCCUUAGGUUCGGGAUAACAGUUGGAAACGACUGCUAAUACCGGAUGAUGACGUAAGUCCAAAGAUUUAUCGCCUAGGGAUGAGCCCGCGUCGGAUUAGCUAGUUGGUGGGGUAAAGGCCUACCAAGGCGACGAUCCGUAGCUGGUCUGAGAGGAUGAUCAGCCACACUGGGACUGAGACACGGCCCAGACUCCUACGGGAGGCAGCAGUGGGGAAUAUUGGACAAUGGGCGAAAGCCUGAUCCAGCAAUGCCGCGUGAGUGAUGAAGGCCUUAGGGUUGUAAAGCUCUUUUACCCGGGAUGAUAAUGACAGUACCGGGAGAAUAAGCCCCGGCUAACUCCGUGCCAGCAGCCGCGGUAAU